Oxyura jamaicensis (ruddy duck) is the source of this 1074-nucleotide long non-coding RNA. RefSeq lists it as uncharacterized. The transcript has 4 exons. NCBI's taxonomy places the organism in Eukaryota, Metazoa, Chordata, Aves, Anseriformes, Anatidae. The record is from RefSeq and is a predicted model, not a curated record.
GGUGGGAGCUCUCAUGGGUAGAUGAAGCGAAUGCUGAGGUGCUGCAGCUGUGAGCAGGAGGAAAAUUAAGCUGUGAACUGGAAUUCCAUCAGGCUGUCUACUGUGAAGCCCUGUGGCUUUAGCAAAGGGGCAGCAGUGGUCAGAAAUGACACUCAAAAGCAAAUGACGUGUAAUUCAUAGUGGACUUCCUACUCCUGUGAAAGAAAGGAAGAAGAUGCUUUUGCUUCACACAAUCUUUGCAUCUAAGGAGCCUUGGUGCGCAUCCCAUUCACGGAGGAAGAAGAGCCCGGGAGAGCCUUGCCUGGCAGGAGGGAGCUGUCAGCACAAAGCAGUGGCUCCUGCUCCACCAUGGGCUCGCUGCUGGCACAAGGGGAGUCAGUGCCACUGACAUAAAGGAGGUUACACCUUUUGUGACGUUAACGCCAGCAGUGGCUUUGGCCCUUUUGCUUCUGCAUACUGUAGUGAGUCAAAAGCAGGGUGAAAUGAAGAAAUAUUUAUGUUGGCUUCCAAACCAGAUUGAAGAUAAAUUGCUGUUAAGCUCCAGUUCUGUCUAACCAUUGAUACGUGUAAUAUAGCAAAUUAAUUAAAAGCUUAUACUCACAAUAUAUAGGGAUUUCAAUUGUUUUAAAGUGGUGGUUAGUCUUUCAGCAACUGGAAGUUACAUGCGACUGAGUUAUUCAGUAGUCAGUGCUUCCAGAACUGUCUGUUUCAAGUAGUUUACUACUCUUCCAAUUUCUUCAUGCCAAUCACUUUUUGUGGAUUUUGAUCUUGCAUUGAACAAACCAGAACCGUCCUUUGCCCUUUUUAUAAGUGCCCCCAAAGCAGGGUAUGAAGUGGGUUGAUGACAGCCCAUCCAUCUCGCUGUUUUUGAAAGGGAUUCUCCUACUGGACAUCAUGCGGGGAAGCGUUUUUCUGAAGCCCACCCACCUUGCCCCCCUUCAGAAGUGGCUGCAUUUUCCUAAGGCAUUUCUUGGAGGGGUAAGCCCGCAUAUCAAACAGCAGAUUUCUUAAUGACAUAUAGCGAUGUUGACUUUACUGAUGCUUCAGCUGCAGUUGUCUUAAUAAAGGCUGUCG